UGUAAAUCUGGUGCGUCGCGCCGCUUCCACUGAAAGGUUUUUGUUUUGCUGUCUCCUUUUGUGGUUAAAAUUGAUUUACUUCCCGUUCUUUUUAUUUCACCCAAGAUUAAGUUUUAUUUUGCAAGGGCUGGAUAAUAUUUCCAAUCAACUGUGGGGAGCACGAAUCGGGAGUGUGCGACUUUUACAAUACUUGUUCUGUUGACGGUCAGACAGGUCCUGACUCAUGUGCAGAGCACCACCUGCUACUCUUCUGCUGCCAUCCUGGGGGGUGUAAUUCUGUGAAAACUCGCCUAGUACAGCAUCAAAGUUUCACAGAUUGUCAAGCUGUCCCACUCCCUGGAUCCUCACCUUUCUCCUUCAGACACUUCUUGGCCUCCCCAGUCUUCUGAGGGUCCCUGGGGGCCCCGGACCGCCCAUGGGGUACAGGCGGAAGAGUCCGGGGCCCUGAAUGAAAAUGAGAAACCCCUCCAUACCCUGGGGGGCAGCACUCAGUCCACAGUUUUAUCCCACGAUGUGUCCACCCUUACAGACCUGUGCUACAGUUCGGACCUGCCAGAGGUGGAAGUUGUUAGCUUGCUGUCGGAGGAGCUACCCAGAUACACUCUGCGGGCAGACUGCGUGUUUGGGUAUGACCAUGAUGACUGGCUGCACACGCCUCUUCUCCCUCCGGAGGGAGUGCUGGGACUCACACCUGAGUUAAUCGAAGAAACUCUCAAGUACUUCCGUAAGUGAUUCUUCUCUCUCAUCAAUCGUUUUUUUUCUAAUUUCCCCAGCGAAAUCAACACAAAACGCUGAAUUUCAUUUUUUUAACCACAUUCUGAUCUCAUGUCGGAAGGUUGGUAGCUAAUAUUCCAAUAAACAAAAACUCAUCUGCCCUCAUUUACUAGUCAAAUGUUUGCACACACCUACUCAUUUAUGGGUCUUGCAUUUUUUACGAAUGUAAAAAACCACAGGGCCAUGAAAUAACAUGUAAGGUUUUGU
Long non-coding RNA from Denticeps clupeoides (denticle herring), 981 nucleotides. The record is from Ensembl. NCBI's taxonomy places the organism in Eukaryota, Metazoa, Chordata, Actinopteri, Clupeiformes, Denticipitidae.